RNAcentral lists this unclassified non-coding RNA (257 nucleotides) under Borreliella garinii. Its description in RNAcentral is "partial 16S-23S ribosomal RNA intergenic spacer". The record is from RNAcentral. Lineage: Bacteria; Pseudomonadati; Spirochaetota; Spirochaetia; Spirochaetales; Borreliaceae.
UGUCGCAUUAUUCGCGGGAGAGUAAGUUGUUGCCAGGGUUUUUGUUUUAUACUUUAAACAUUGAUUUUAUUUUUUAUGUUUUUAGAUGUUCAUGUUUUUGAAUGUUUUAUUCAAAUAAUAUAAAAAAUAAAAUAUAUAUUGACAUGGAUUAAACAAAGAUAUAUAUUAUUCUAUGUUGUAUAAACAAAUUGGCAAAAUAGAGAUGGAAGAUAAAAAUAUGGUCAAAGUAAUAAGAGUCUAUGGUGAAUGCCUAGGAA